Non-coding RNA from Scomber scombrus (Atlantic mackerel), 375 nucleotides. The record is from the annotation of a RefSeq genome assembly. Lineage: Eukaryota; Metazoa; Chordata; Actinopteri; Scombriformes; Scombridae.
AUGACUUUGAUCUCUGUCCUCAUCUGGACUCUCCUCUGCUGCUGCUUCACAGAGUCCAGAGGCCAGAUCACAGUGACUCAGUCUGCAGCAGUGAGAUCUGAACUGGGACGAUCUGCAACCAUCAACUGUAAGACCAGUCAGGAUGUUUAUUAUGAUGGCGCUGACCACAUAUUAGCCUGGUACCAACAGAGAGAUGGAGAAACUCCUAAACUUCUCAUUUACUGGGCUACACGUCGACAAUCAGGGAUUCCAGAUCGUUUUUCAGGCAGUGGAUCAAACUCUGACUUCACUCUGACCAUCAGUGGAGUUCAGGCUGAAGAUGCAGCAGUUUAUUACUGUCAGAGUCAUCACAGUGGAUAUGUGUUCACACAGUGA